CGCCAACCAGCUAGCCCACCCCUAUAAAAACAAACCCCCAAUAUUAAUAAACCCAAAUACACACACCACCCCCUAAACAAACCAUUUUUCCCCCUAAGUAUGGGAGACAGAAAAG
RNAcentral lists this ribosomal RNA (115 nucleotides) under Pterycombus petersii (prickley pomfret). Its description in RNAcentral is "partial 16S ribosomal RNA". Lineage: Eukaryota; Metazoa; Chordata; Actinopteri; Scombriformes; Bramidae. The record is from RNAcentral.